Long non-coding RNA from Homo sapiens (human), 894 nucleotides. RefSeq lists it as uncharacterized. The record is from RefSeq and is a predicted model, not a curated record. The transcript has 3 exons. Lineage: Eukaryota; Metazoa; Chordata; Mammalia; Primates; Hominidae.
AGGGGAUGCCUCCGUGCUGCAAUGGCAGUAAAAACAAUUGCUACUGAAACACCACCCACGUUUCCUCUUUUGCUGGACACGGCUCCCUAUUAAAGUGUGUACAUGGCGUCGGGGAGGGGCACGCUCAAGAAACAGCAAGAACCACACUUCCUAGAGGCCACCCAGCCUCCACAUUCUGUUCAAUCAGCAUUCCCUUGACAUAUGGCUCACCAGGGCCACUCCCGGCCAGAACUCCGCCAGAGCAUCUGAUGGGACCACUGCACCCGCUGUUUGCCAACAGCAAAGUUGGACAGAGCUGCUGUCCUCAAGGCCCCUCGACAAGGAAGUCCUCCUGGAUGCCCAGCUCUGGAGUCAUCUCUGUGGUAUACUAGGAUUCCAGUUCCAACUUUCUCUGGAACCAGUUGGGUCAUCACAGGUCACGAGAGCAGAUGCCUACAGAGAGUGAGGAGAGGCGGGACCUGCCACAAACUGCAAGCUUGCAGGUGAAGAUGGCUGUCCAGCUGCGAUGCUCUCACACCCAGGACCCACAAUCGAAAGAACCAAGGACGUGAGAUCACAGUUAGAGCCUGCUGUGUAAGUCGUGUUUCCCCCAACGACUGGGACCUCCUGGCCAGCAGGGAGAGGCCUGAGUCAUCUCCGGGUCCUCUGCCCCUGGCCAAAGCAAAGACCAAAGCCCUGGCCACACAGACCUGGGGCAGGGCAAAUGAGAAAAUCAAAGGGGUGGGUGUUCACCCUCUGGGGAAGUGAGGCAGAAAUUGGGGGUCCCAGGGCAGAGAUGAUCAACAGCCUGAGAGGGGGCUCUCAGGCAGGCCCUGGAGAGAGGCCGCUGAGCUCAGACAGCAUGGGAGGAUCAGGGCCUUGCUGGAGAGGAGGGACUGGGGAGGGGUUCCGGUU